AGAGUUUGAUCCUGGCUCAGAAGCCGAACGCUGGCGGCGUGCUUAACACAUGCAAGUCGAAGUGCGCGUCUGUAGCCAAUACAGAUGGCGCACGGCGCACGGGUGCGUAACACGUGGGUAAUCUGCCCUUCGAUGGGGAAUAACUCCGGGAAACCGAAGCUAAUUCCGCAUAACAUUCCUUGAAACUUCGGGGUUUAAGGAUUCAAAGCCGUAAGGCGUCGGAGGAGGAACCCGCGCACGAUUAGCUAGUUGGCAGGGUAACGGCCUACCAAGGCUUUGAUCGUUAGCUGGUCUGAGAGGAUGACCAGCCACACUGGGACUGAGACACGGCCCAGACUCCUACGGGAGGCAGCAGUGGGGAAUAUUGGACAAUGGGGGCAACCCUGAUCCAGCGACGCCGCGUGUGUGAAGAAGGCCUGCGGGUUGUAAAGCACUUUUAGU
RNAcentral lists this ribosomal RNA (441 nucleotides) under uncultured bacterium. Its description in RNAcentral is "bacterial SSU rRNA". It matches the Rfam family "Bacterial small subunit ribosomal RNA", at positions 8 to 440 of the family's 1533-position model. The record is from RNAcentral.